This 133-nucleotide small nucleolar RNA is filed under the name Jaculus jaculus (lesser Egyptian jerboa). RNAcentral describes it as "Small nucleolar RNA SNORA1 (ENSJJAG00000005099.1)". It matches the Rfam family "Small nucleolar RNA SNORA1". Rfam says of the family: ACA1 is a member of the H/ACA class of snoRNA that guide the sites of modification of uridines to pseudouridines. The record is from Rfam by way of RNAcentral. Lineage: Eukaryota; Metazoa; Chordata; Mammalia; Rodentia; Dipodidae.
AGCCUCAUUGUAGAUGAAAAUGGACACUGUUGGUCAGUGUCCAGAAUUGCUCAGCGUGGCUAACUUGAAACACAGGUCAUGCUUCCAUCACAGUAAACAUAGUGCAGUGGUGACAAUGAGACCUGUAACAUUG